RNAcentral lists this ribosomal RNA (497 nucleotides) under uncultured bacterium. Its description in RNAcentral is "partial 16S ribosomal RNA". It matches the Rfam family "Bacterial small subunit ribosomal RNA", at positions 28 to 507 of the family's 1533-position model. The record is from RNAcentral.
GACGAACGAUGGCGGCGUGCCUAAUACAUGCAAGUUGAGCGCUGAAGGUUGGUACUUGUACCAACUGGAUGAGCAGCGAACGGGUGAGUAACGCGUGGGGAAUCUGCCUUUGAGCGGGGGACAACAUUUGGAAACGAAUGCUAAUACCGCAUAAAAACUUUAAACACAAGUUUUAAGUUUGAAAGAUGCAAUUGCAUCACUCAAAGAUGAUCCCGCGUUGUAUUAGCUAGUUGGUGAGGUAAAGGCUCACCAAGGCGAUGAUACAUAGCCGACCUGAGAGGGUGAUCGGCCACAUUGGGACUGAGACACGGCCCAAACUCCUACGGGAGGCAGCAGUAGGGAAUCUUCGGCAAUGGACGAAAGUCUGACCGAGCAACGCCGCGUGAGUGAAGAAGGUUUUCGGAUCGUAAAACUCUGUUGGUAGAGAAGAACGUUGGUGAGAGUGGAAAGCUCAUCAAGUGACGGUAACUACCCAGAAAGGGACGGCUAACUACGUG